CGGGGUGCAGCAGGCGCGAAAACUUUGCAAUACACGAAAGUGUGACAGGGCUAUCCCGAGUGCCAUCCGCUGAGGAAGGCUUUUACCCAGUCUAGAACGCUGGGGGAAUAAGGAGAGGGCAAGUCUGGUGUCAGCCGCCGCGGUAAUACCAGCUCUCCGAGUGGUGUGGAUGUUUAUUGGGCCUAAAGCAUCCGUAGCCGGCUAAGUUAGUCCCUUGUUAAAUCCACCGAAUUAAUCGUUGGAUUGCGGGGGAUACUGCUUGGCUAGGGGACGAGAGAGGCAGACGGUAUUUCCGGGGUAGGGGUGAAAUCCUAUAAUCCCGGGAAGACCACCAGUGGCGAAGGCUGUCUGCUAGAACGCGCCCGACGGUGAGGGAUGAAAGCUGGGGGAGCGAACCGGAUUAGAUACCCGGGUAGUCCCAGCUGUAAACGAUGCAGGCUAGGUGUUUGGACGGCCACGUGCCGUUCUAGUGCCGCAGGGAAGCUGUUAAGCCUGCCGCCUGGGGAGUACGAUCGCAAGAUUGAAACUUAAAGGAAUUGGCGGGGGAGCAC
RNAcentral lists this ribosomal RNA (551 nucleotides) under uncultured archaeon. Its description in RNAcentral is "bacterial SSU rRNA". It matches the Rfam family "Archaeal small subunit ribosomal RNA", at positions 326 to 879 of the family's 1478-position model. The record is from RNAcentral.